GGGGACGUAGCUCAAUUGGUAGAGCGCCUGCUUUGCAAGCAGGAGGUCGUGGGUUCGAUUCCCAUCGUCACCACCA
RNAcentral lists this transfer RNA (76 nucleotides) under Actinomycetota bacterium. RNAcentral's name for it is "Actinobacteria bacterium tRNA-Ala". It matches the Rfam family "tRNA". Rfam says of the family: Transfer RNA (tRNA) molecules are approximately 80 nucleotides in length. Their secondary structure includes four short double-helical elements and three loops (D, anti-codon, and T loops). Further hydrogen bonds mediate the characteristic L-shaped molecular structure. tRNAs have two regions of fundamental functional importance: the anti-codon, which is responsible for specific mRNA codon recognition, and the 3' end, to which the tRNAs corresponding amino acid is attached (by aminoacyl-tRNA synthetases). tRNAs cope with the degeneracy of the genetic code in two manners: having more than one tRNA (with a specific anti-codon) for a particular amino acid; and 'wobble' base-pairing, i.e. permitting non-standard base-pairing at the 3rd anti-codon position. RNAcentral also lists the same sequence under 1 other name. The record is from RNAcentral. Lineage: Bacteria; Bacillati; Actinomycetota.